Molecule: RNA transcript, 2614 nt
Organism: Scatophagus argus
Lineage: Eukaryota; Metazoa; Chordata; Actinopteri; Scatophagidae
Gene: slc33a2
Gene name: major facilitator superfamily domain containing 3
Exons: 8
Source: RefSeq, a predicted model, not a curated record
GGGGAUUGCUGUCACAGAAUCUGGCAACCUCAUAGCUCAAACACAGUUCAACUAUAAACAAGCGGAGCCGCAGCUUCUCUGGUUUGCUAACGCCAGGCUAACCAACUUUCUUUCCCAGUCAGUCAGUUCAUCUGGGUCAACCUGUCCAUUAGAAAUGCUUCCCCGUAACCAACCGUAAAGACGAUGACCUGACCAAUGGACCGCUGCUGUGUCUGCUCGCAGAAGGAGGGUCACUUCUGGAAGUAGAUCAUGAAUGACAAACUAGUCUUCCUGGGCCUGCUGUACUUUGUCCAGGGCAUCCCCUAUGGUCUCCAGUCUUCCCUGCUUCCUGUCUACCUGCGUGGAGCUGGUCACUCCCUCACCCGCAUUGGCUUCACCAAGAUCCUCUACUUCCCCUGGGUCCUCAAGGUGCUCUGGGCCCCUUUGGUGGACCGGCUCAGCACCAAACGUCGCUGGCUGGUGGGGACAGUUUCUGGGCUGGCUCUGACAUGCCUCUCCAGUGCUGCCCUGGCCCCGGAAGCACACAUCUGGGGAGUAGCAGGAACCCUGUUGGCCAUGAACACCUUGGCCUCUGUUCAGGAUAUUGCUGUAGACGGGGCUGCGGUGGGGUUGUUGAAAGGUCGUGGGGAGCUGGGGCUGGGAAACACAGCCCAAGUCGUGGGCUACAAGGCUGGGUCGGUGUUUGCCGGAGGUGGGCUGCUGGCUGUCAUUGACGUGGCUGGGUGGAGCUGGAUGUUCCUGCUGCUGAUGUUCGUGUAUGCAGGCGUGGCUCUGUUUGUGUGGGGGGCCCCUGUGCUGGAUGAUGAGACUGUGAGGAGCCAGCAGGCAGAUGGGAGCAGGAGGGCAUGGCAGGGAGCAGAUGCUAUGAGACCAUGGAAGGUGUGGAGGAAGCUGCUGGCAGUGCCCGGCACCCCCUGGACAGUCCUGUACGUGCUGACAUACAAACUGGGUGAGCAGGGUGCAGUCACCAUGUUUCCUCUUUUCCUGCUGGAUCAUCACAUGACCGCCAGGGAGCUCGGCUUCUGGAACGGCGUCAUCGCCAUGGGCUUCUCCAUCUGCGGGUCGUCCCUGGGAGGCCUGCUGCUCGCUCAGUUCAGCAUCGGGGCUCUGAUGCGACGUGUGUUUGUACUGCGCACCAUCAGCAUGGUCUUCCAAAGCUCUCUGCUCACCGUACUGGAACCAUCACCACUCAUGAAAGGUAUGGCCGUCUUGAGCAUGAGUGUUCAACACUUCCUGGGCGGCCUCAUCACCACGCUCACCUUCACUACCAUGAUGCAUUGCACUCAGCGGGCCGAGGAAAGCAUUCAGGCGACCCACUACAGUUUCCUGGCGACCCUGGAGGUUCUGGGGAAGCUGACGUUUGGCGCUCUGGCCGGAGGCGUGGUGGAUUGGUUCGGUUUCCAAGUUGCCUUCCUCUUCUUCCUCACGCUGUCCGCCGGGACGGCCCUGCAUGUGUGGACGGCCACCUUCACUGGUGCUCUCAGGGAACACCAGCUCAAAGAACAGCCCAAGUGAGAUGAGGAUCGGGGGGAGUGACGGGUCCUGAUCUGGGGCCCCUGCAGGUCUAACUGAACGAAUCUCUACUACCUCGUAUCAGCGCUGUAUGGUACGACACACAGGAAGUGAAUGUACAGUCGCUGCACCAAGUAGAGCACACAUUCAUUCACAGCACAAUAGUGGCAACACACACACACACACACACACACAAUAUGUUACCUAAGCAACAACAGUUUGCCAAAGUAGUUUGGGCGUGUUUCAUGUGAGAAAAAAAAUACAUUAAAAAUAUAGUUCGGCUACAACAGAUUUUCAGAGUAAAAUCUUUCUCGUGUUUGGAUUCGAACAGGUCAGCGCUGACCUCAGCCUUACACACUGCAUGGUGCCAUCUCGUCUCAGUUUGUCAGUCAGAGAAUCAGGCUUGUGAAUAAACUCAAACUCAAAACUUGAAAAACCAAAACUUCAGGCAUUGGCUGCUUUGUUUCACUCUUUCGUCUUAAUAUAAAAUAAUAACGUACUAUGAAAUAUACUGCAACUCUCCACGGUACAGUACACUAUGUGCCAUACACAUAUGACAUAAUUUUAUCCAGGCUUAAAAUAUGAAUGAAAUAGCAGCAGGGAAUGUUAUUUAUCACCAGGCUCUGUAGGAGAUUGGAGUAGAAAUUCUUAAAAAAGUCUUAAAUGUAAAGGUAACUUCAGUGUUUUUCAAACUGGACCAUAUACAAGGGACAAACAGUGGACAUCAGAGGGACAACCAGAAGAUACGAAACAAGUGGUGGGCUGAGACAGAUAGUUCUGACUGUAUUACAAGUCAGUGCACCAUCAAAAUGAUUUUCAAGCUGUUAUUUUGAGGUAAAAUAGUUACAUAAAGUUGCUUUAAACUGCUUGUUUUUGCCACCGACUGGUUCAGGUUGUCAUUGUGUGAAAACAUAAUGUGGAGGAUCCCCACCAGACUGAACAUGUUCAUGUGUAACGCAGUGAGUCAGUGGUCUGGUGGUUGUUGGAACAGUGAAUAGAUGAACCAAGAAGGCUUUGCUGAGUUUUAUUUUGUUUUCAUUGGGUUUGAAUGAAGUGGGAGUUACAUUGAUGUGUGAUGAACAAAAAGGAUUUUCACUCUUUU